AAGCAAGCGCUAUGCCAGACCUACUCGCCUAGGAAAGUUUGCAGCAACCUGCGGAAAAAAUAUCCGUGCAGAAAUUGCCGACCUCGACGUGACAGGUAAGUUUUGCCGAGACCAGUUCUUGUUACGUCAAUGCGCCGAUGACGUGUUCUAAAGUCGGAUAACGAGAACGCAGGAAAGAACUUUCCGGCGUCGGAUCUUGCGCAAAGGACACCCG
RNAcentral lists this unclassified non-coding RNA (214 nucleotides) under Hevea brasiliensis (rubber tree). The record is from RNAcentral. Lineage: Eukaryota; Viridiplantae; Streptophyta; Magnoliopsida; Malpighiales; Euphorbiaceae.